AUAAGGUUUACUAUCCUGCACUGGGAACUAGAGUUGCUUCGUUCAGUGUCUAAUUCAGCAGUACAGCACAAGAUGCUGCCUGACUGUUUCCAGGGGCUUCCGUUGAUAGCUGUUCCACAGUGGCAGGCACUGAGUUAACACCUCAGGAGGUGGUCAACCAGAGGACUCAGUUUUAAGCACAGAUAAAAGCCCAGCGUGGACUGGAAAAAUGAGCUUUGCAAACUUUGCAGGACUUGGACCAGGUUCUGACCCUCCCAAGAUCCGGACAUGAAACAAACCAGAGCCCUUCCCUGAUGCACAAGGCACUCUGAGCACCAGUGUAUGGGGCUCACCCAGCCUCAACUCUGUACCUUCCUCAAUCUGGAUGUCCCAUCUCAAAAUCAG
Long non-coding RNA from Pristis pectinata (smalltooth sawfish), 384 nucleotides. RefSeq lists it as uncharacterized. Lineage: Eukaryota; Metazoa; Chordata; Chondrichthyes; Rhinopristiformes; Pristidae. The record is from RefSeq and is a predicted model, not a curated record. The transcript is spliced from 4 exons.